This 253-nucleotide ribosomal RNA is filed under the name uncultured bacterium. Its description in RNAcentral is "partial 16S ribosomal RNA". It matches the Rfam family "Bacterial small subunit ribosomal RNA", at positions 524 to 776 of the family's 1533-position model. The record is from RNAcentral.
UACGUAGGGGGCAAGCGUUGUCCGGAAUCAUUGGGCGUAAAGCGCGCGUAGGCGGCCCGGUAAGUCCGUUGUAAAAGUCAAAGGCUCAACCUUUGAAAGCCGAUGGAUACUGCUGGGCUAGAGUCCGGAAGAGGCGAGUGGAAUUCCUGGUGUAGCGGUGGAAUGCGCAGAUAUCAGGAGGAACACCGAUAGCGAAGGCAGCUCGCUGGGACGGUACUGACGCUGAGGCGCGAAAGCGUGGGGAGCGAACAGG